Molecule: ribosomal RNA, 421 nt
Filed under: uncultured bacterium
Lineage: Bacteria
Description: bacterial SSU rRNA
Rfam family: Bacterial small subunit ribosomal RNA
Source: RNAcentral
UAAGGAAUAUUGGACAAUGGAGGCAACUCUGAUCCAGCCAUGCCGCGUGAAGGAAUAAGGCCCUAUGGGUUGUAAACUUCUUUUAGACGGGACAAAACCCCUUUACGUGUAAAGGGUUGAUGGUACUGUCAGAAUAAGCACCGGCUAACUCCGUGCCAGCAGCCGCGGUAAUACGGAGGGUGCAAGCGUUAUCCGGAUUCACUGGGUUUAAAGGGUGCGUAGGUGGGCAGGUAAGUCAGUGGUGAAAUCUCUGGGCUUAACCCAGAAACUGCCGUUGAUACUAUCUGUCUUGAAUUAUCUGGAGGUAAGCGGAAUAUGUCAUGUAGCGGUGAAAUGCUAGAUAUGACAUAGAACACCAAUUGCGAAGGCAGCUUACUACAUAUAAAUUGACGCUGAGGCACGAAAGCGUGGGGAUCAAACA